RNAcentral lists this ribosomal RNA (398 nucleotides) under uncultured bacterium. RNAcentral describes it as "bacterial SSU rRNA". It matches the Rfam family "Bacterial small subunit ribosomal RNA", at positions 362 to 776 of the family's 1533-position model. The record is from RNAcentral.
UAUUGGACAAUGGGCGAAAGCCUGAUCCAGCAAUGCCGCGUGCGUGACGAAGGCCUUCGGGUUGUAAAGCGCUUUUCCCUGUGACGAUGAUGACGGUAACAGGGGAAUAAGCCCCGGCUAACUUCGUGCCAGCAGCCGCGGUAAUACGAAGGGGGCUAGCGUUGUUCGGAAUGACUGGGCGUAAAGGGCGCGUAGGCGGCGCAUCAAGUCGGGCUGUGAAAGCCCCGGGCUCAACCCGGGAAUUGCGCUCGAGACUGGUGUGCUGGAGUGCGGGAGAGGAUGGUGGAAUUCCCAGUGUAGAGGUGAAAUUCGUAGAUAUUGGGAAGAACACCGGUGGCGAAGGCGACCAUCUGGACCGCAACUGACGCUGAGGCGCGAAAGCGUGGGGAGCAAACAGG